UGCUGGUCCAAGUGCAGUGGUAUUUACAACUAAUUGAUCGCAACUAGUUAUAGGUUCUUUGUUUCUUCUUCAUUUUCACUGUUGCACUUGACUAGCUUAAA
Molecule: Y RNA, 101 nt
Organism: Callithrix jacchus (white-tufted-ear marmoset)
Lineage: Eukaryota; Metazoa; Chordata; Mammalia; Primates; Cebidae
Rfam family: Y RNA
About the family: Y RNAs are components of the Ro ribonucleoprotein particle (Ro RNP), in association with Ro60 and La proteins. The Y RNAs and Ro60 and La proteins are well conserved, but the function of the Ro RNP is not known.
Source: Ensembl